GAUGAACGCUGGCGGCGUGCCUAAUACAUGCAAGUCGAGCGAACAGACGAGGAUCUUGCUCCUCUGACGUUAGCGGCGGACGGGUGAGUAACACGUGUAUAACCUACCUAUAAGACUGGGAUAACUUCGGGACACCGGAGCUAAUACCGGAUAAUAUAUUGAACCGCAUGGUUCAAUAGUGAAAUACGGUUUUGCUGUCACUUAUAGAUGGAUCCGCGCCGCAUGAGCUAGUUGGUAAGGUAACGGCUUACCAAGGCAACGAUGCGUAGCCGACCUGUGAGGGGGAUCGGCCACACUGGAGCUGAGACACGGCACAGACUCCUACGGACGGCAGAAGUAGGGACUCUUGCGAAAUGGGCGAAAGAUUGACGGAGCAGCGCCGCGUGAGUGAUGAAGGUCUUCGGAUCGUAAAACUCUGUUAUUAGGGAAGAACAAAUGUGUAAGUAACUAAGCGCGUCUUGCCGGAACCGAUUAAGAAAGCCACGGCUAACUACGU
RNAcentral lists this ribosomal RNA (496 nucleotides) under uncultured bacterium. Its description in RNAcentral is "partial 16S ribosomal RNA". It matches the Rfam family "Bacterial small subunit ribosomal RNA", at positions 28 to 506 of the family's 1533-position model. The record is from RNAcentral.